UUAGAACGUCGUGAGACAGUUCGGUCCCUAUCUGCCGUGGGCGCUGGAGAACUGAGGGGGGCUGCUCCUAGUACGAGAGGACCGGAGUGGACGCAUCACUGGUGUUCGGGUUGUCAUGCCAAUGGCAUGCCCGGUAGCUAAAUGCGGAAGAGAUAAGUGCUGAAAGCAUCUAAGCACGAAACUUGCCCCGAGAUGAGUUCUCCCUGACUCCUUGAGAGUCCUGAAGGAACGUUGAAGACGACGACGUUGAUAGG
This 254-nucleotide ribosomal RNA is filed under the name Escherichia coli. Its description in RNAcentral is "partial 23S ribosomal RNA". It matches the Rfam family "Bacterial large subunit ribosomal RNA", at positions 2611 to 2860 of the family's 2925-position model. Lineage: Bacteria; Pseudomonadati; Pseudomonadota; Gammaproteobacteria; Enterobacterales; Enterobacteriaceae. The record is from RNAcentral.